UGGGGAAUAUUGGACAAUGGGGGAAACCCUGAUCCAGCAAUGCCGCGUGAGUGAAGAAGGCCUUAGGGUUGUAAAGCUCUUUCGCCCGCGAAGAUAAUGACGGUAGCGGGAGAAGAAGCCCCGGCUAACUCCGUGCCAGCAGCCGCGGUAAUACGGAGGGGGCUAGCGUUGUUCGGAAUUACUGGGCGUAAAGCGUACGUAGGCGGAUGCGCAAGUUGGGGGUGAAAUCCCGGGGCUUAACCUCGGAAUUGCCCUCAAAACUGCACGUCUUGAGACCGAGAGAGGUAAGGGGAAUUCCUAGUGUAGAGGUGAAAUUCGUAGAUAUUAGGAAGAACACCAGUGGCGAAGGCGCCUUACUGGCUCGGUACUGACGCUGAGGUACGAAAGCGUGGAUAGCGAACA
Molecule: ribosomal RNA, 402 nt
Filed under: uncultured bacterium
Lineage: Bacteria
Description: bacterial SSU rRNA
Rfam family: Bacterial small subunit ribosomal RNA
Source: RNAcentral